This 305-nucleotide ribosomal RNA is filed under the name uncultured bacterium. RNAcentral's name for it is "bacterial SSU rRNA". It matches the Rfam family "Bacterial small subunit ribosomal RNA", at positions 334 to 655 of the family's 1533-position model. The record is from RNAcentral.
UGCGCCUACGGGGGGCAGCAGUGGGGAAUAUUGCACAAUGGGGGAAACCCUGAUGCAGCAACGCCGCGUGAGUGAAGAAGUAUUUCGGUAUGUAAAGCUCUAUCAGCAGGGAAGAAGAAAGACGGUACCUGACUAAGAAGCCCCGGCUAACUACGUGCCAGCAGCCGCGGUAAUACGUAGGGGGCAAGCGUUAUCCGGAUUUACUGGGUGUAAAGGGAGCGUAGACGGCAGUGCAAGUCUGAAGUGAAAGCCUGGGGCUCAACCCCGGAACUGCUUUGGAAACUGUGCUGCUUGAGUACCGGAGG